Molecule: ribosomal RNA, 794 nt
Filed under: uncultured Methanosarcinales archaeon
Lineage: Archaea; Methanobacteriati; Methanobacteriota; Methanomicrobia; Methanosarcinales
Description: bacterial SSU rRNA
Rfam family: Archaeal small subunit ribosomal RNA
Source: RNAcentral
ACKGCUCAGUAACACGUGGACAACCUACCCUCAGGUCGGGGAUAAACCCGGGAAACUGGGUAUAAUACCCGAUAGAUCUCGGCUGCUGGAAUGCAUCGAGCUCUAAAGCUCCGGCGCCUGAGGAUGGGUCUGCGGCCUAUCAGGUAGUAGUGGGUGUAGCGUACCUACUAGCCUACGACGGGUACGGGUUGUGAGAGCAAGAGCCCGGAGAUGGAUUCUGAGACACGAAUCCAGGCCCUACGGGGUGCAGCAGGCGCGAAAACUUUACAAUGCCGGCAACGGCGAUAAGGGGACCUCGAGUGCCAGGUUACAAAUCUGGCUGUCGUGAUGCCUAAAAAGCAUUGCAUAGCAAGGGCCGGGCAAGACCGGUGCCAGCCGCCGCGGUAACACCGGCGGCUCGAGUGGUAACCGUUAUUAUUGGGUCUAAAGGGUCUGUAGCCGGCCGGAUAAGUCUCUUGGGAAAUCCAGCAGCUUAACUGUUGGGCUUUCAGGAGAUACUGUCUGGCUCGAGGCCGGGAGAGGUGAGAGGUACUUCAGGGGUAGGGGGUGAAAUCCUGUAAUCCUUGGGGGACCACCUGUGGCGAAGGCGCCUCACCAGAACGGCUCCGACAGUGAGGAACGAAAGCUGGGGGAGCAAACCGGAUUAGAUACCCGGGUAGUCCCAGCUGUAAACGAUGCGCGUUAGGUGUAUCGGUGACCACGAGUCACCGAGGUGCCGAAGAGAAAUCGUGAAACGUGCCGCCUGGGAAGUACGGUCGCAAGGCUGAAACUUAAAGGAAUUGGCGGGGGAGCAC